CAAAGUAUAGUUUAAAUUAAAAUAUCAAUUUUGGAGAUUGAUGAUAAAAGUAUCUUUUACUUUGA
This 65-nucleotide transfer RNA is filed under the name Coleoptera sp. 10 KM-2017. RNAcentral describes it as "tRNA-Pro". Lineage: Eukaryota; Metazoa; Arthropoda; Insecta; Coleoptera. The record is from RNAcentral.